This 73-nucleotide small nucleolar RNA is filed under the name Myotis lucifugus (little brown bat). Its description in RNAcentral is "Small nucleolar RNA SNORD113/SNORD114 family". It matches the Rfam family "Small nucleolar RNA SNORD113/SNORD114 family". From Rfam's summary of the family: The imprinted human domain at 14q32 contains two clusters of tandemly repeated small nucleolar RNAs named 14q(I) and 14q(II) snoRNAs. Lineage: Eukaryota; Metazoa; Chordata; Mammalia; Chiroptera; Vespertilionidae. The record is from Rfam by way of RNAcentral.
UGGAUCAAUGAUGAUGACUGGUCACAUAGGUCAUAUAUGGUGAGUGCGAGGUGUCUGUAACUCUUGUGUUCAC